UCAUUUUGUAUCAAGCCAAAAAAAAUAAAAAAUAAGUUUGAGUAAUAAAAGUUUCUCUUCUCCAAAAUCUUUCUACUCUUCCAAAAUUCCCUUAGCCUAAAAGCCUCCCUCCAAAUAUUAAUAGCAAUCCUCUUCCAACAUAAUAGUGUAUAAUAUUGUAUAAGAUGUAUAAUAGUGUAUAAACACCUCUUAUAUAUUAUUUUAUACAAGCUGAUACAUUAUAUACAUGGUGUAUCACUAAUAUUAUUACUACUAUGCUUAUACAUUUUUAUAUAAAUA
Molecule: long non-coding RNA, 279 nt
Filed under: Nicotiana benthamiana
Lineage: Eukaryota; Viridiplantae; Streptophyta; Magnoliopsida; Solanales; Solanaceae
Description: long non-coding RNA (NBEN_LNC004613)
Source: RNAcentral